AUAGGCCUACGGGGGGCAGCAGUGGGGGAUAUUGCACAAUGGAGGAAACCCUGAUGCAGCGACGCCGCGUGAGUGAAGAAGUAUUUCGGUAUGUAAAGCUCUAUCAGCAGGGAAGAAAAAAGACGGUACCUGACUAAGAAGCCCCGGCUAACUACGUGCCAGCAGCCGCGGUAAUACGUAGGGGGCAAGCGGUAUCCGGAUUUACUGGGUGUAAAGGGAGCGUAGACGGCAAUACAAGACGGAAGUGAAAUACCCGGGCUCAACCUGGGAACUGCUUGGGAAACUGUAGGGCUAGAGGGCUGGAG
RNAcentral lists this ribosomal RNA (305 nucleotides) under uncultured bacterium. Its description in RNAcentral is "bacterial SSU rRNA". It matches the Rfam family "Bacterial small subunit ribosomal RNA", at positions 333 to 654 of the family's 1533-position model. The record is from RNAcentral.